UACAGAGGUCCCAAGCGUUGUUCGGAUUCAUUGGGCGUAAAGGGUGCGUAGGCGGCGCGGUAAGUCGGGUGUGAAAUCUCGGAGCUUAACUCCGAAACUGCAUUUGGUACUGCCGUGCUUGAGGACUGGAGAGGAGACUGGAAUUUACGGUGUAGCGGUGAAAUGCGUAGAUAUCGUAAGGAAGACCAGUGGCGAAGGCGGGUCUCUGGACAGUUCCUGACGCUGAGGCACGAAAGCGUGGGGAGCGAACGGG
RNAcentral lists this ribosomal RNA (253 nucleotides) under uncultured bacterium. RNAcentral describes it as "partial 16S ribosomal RNA". It matches the Rfam family "Bacterial small subunit ribosomal RNA", at positions 524 to 776 of the family's 1533-position model. The record is from RNAcentral.